This 27-nucleotide ribosomal RNA is filed under the name Circulifolium microdendron. RNAcentral's name for it is "partial 18S ribosomal RNA". Lineage: Eukaryota; Viridiplantae; Streptophyta; Bryopsida; Hypnales; Neckeraceae. The record is from RNAcentral.
ACCUGUGAACCUGCGGAAGGAUCAUUG